GACGAACGCUGGCGGCGUGCUUAACACAUGCAAGUCGAACGGAAAGGCCCUGCUUUUGUGGGGUGCUCGAGCGCCGCACGCGCGUAACACGCGCGUAACCCGCCCCCGACCCUGGGAUCACUCCCGGCAACCCGCCCCAACACCGCCCAGGAGCUCCUGCCGCCCGCCGGGGCCCGGAAAGUCCCGGCGGCUGGGGCUGGACUCGCGGCUUAUCCGCUCGUUGGUGGGGUAGUGGCUUACCAAGGCCUUGACGGGUAGCCGGCCUGAGAGGGUGACCGGCCACAUUGGGACUGAGGUACGGCCCAGACUCCUACGGGAGGCAGCAGUGGGGAAUAUUGCACAGUGGGCGGAAGCCUGAUGCAGCGGCGCCGCGUGCGGGAUGACGGCCUUCGGGUUGUAAACCGCUGUCGCCUGUGACGAAGCGUGAGUGACGGUAAUGGGUAAGGAAGCACCGGCUAGCUACGUG
Molecule: ribosomal RNA, 466 nt
Filed under: uncultured bacterium
Lineage: Bacteria
Description: partial 16S ribosomal RNA
Rfam family: Bacterial small subunit ribosomal RNA
Source: RNAcentral